GAUGAACGCUGGCGGCGUGCCUAAUACAUGCAAGUCGAGCGAACGGACGAUAAUCUUGCUUCUCUGAUGUUUGCGGCGGACGUGUGAGUAACACGUGGAUCACCUACCUAUAUUACUGGUAUAACUUCGGAAAACCGGCUCUUAUCCCGUAUAAUCUUUUGAACCGCAUUGUUCAAAAGUGAAAGUCGGUCUUGCUGUCACUUCUCGAUGGAUCUGCGCUGCAUUAGCUAGUUGUUAAGGUACCGGCUUACCAAGGCAACGAUGCAUAGCCGACAUGAGAGGGUGAUCGGCGAAACUGGAACUGAGACAGGGUCAAGAGGACUAAGGGAGGCAGCAGUAGGGAAUCUUACGCAAUGGGAGAGAGCCUGACGGAGCAGCGCCGCGUGAGUGAUGAAGGUCUUCGGAGCGUAAAAAUCUGUUAUGAGGGAAGAACAGAUGUGUAAGUAACUGUGCACAGCUUGACGGUAACUAAUCAGAAAGCCACGGCUAACUACGUG
Molecule: ribosomal RNA, 497 nt
Filed under: uncultured bacterium
Lineage: Bacteria
Description: partial 16S ribosomal RNA
Rfam family: Bacterial small subunit ribosomal RNA
Source: RNAcentral